RNAcentral lists this ribosomal RNA (468 nucleotides) under uncultured bacterium. RNAcentral describes it as "partial 16S ribosomal RNA". It matches the Rfam family "Bacterial small subunit ribosomal RNA", at positions 28 to 507 of the family's 1533-position model. The record is from RNAcentral.
GACGAACGCUGGCGGCGUGCUUAACACAUGCAAGUCGAACGGAAAGGCCCUGCUUUUGUGGGGUGCUCGAGUGGCGAACGGGUGAGUAACACGUGAGUAACCUGCCCUUGACUUUGGGAUAACUUCAGGAAACUGGGGCUAAUACCGGAUAGGAGCUCCUGCUGCAUGGUGGGGGUUGGAAAGUUUCGGCGGUCGGGGAUGGACUCGCGGCUUAUCAGCUUGUUGGUGGGGUAGUGGCUUACCGAGGCUUUGACGGGUAGCCGGCCUGAGAGGGUGACCGGCCACAUUGGGACUGAGAUACGGCCCAGACUCCUACGGGAGGCAGCAGUGGGGAAUAUUGCACAAUGGGCGGAAGCCUGAUGCAGCAACGCCGCGUGCGGGAUGACGGCCUUCGGGUUGUAAACCGCUUUCGCCUGUGACGAAGCGCGAGUGACGGUAAUGGGUAAAGAAGCACCGGCUAACUACGUG